UACGGAGGGUGCGAGCGUUAAUCGGAAUUACUGGGCGUAAAGCGUGCGUAGGCGGCCUGCCAAGCCAGGUGUGAAAGCCCCGGGCUCAACCUGGGAACGGCACUUGGAACUGGCGGGCUGGAGUUUGGUAGAGGGGGGCGGAAUUCCGGGUGUAGCGGUGAAAUGCGUAGAUAUCCGGAGGAACACCAGUGGCGAAGGCGGCCCCCUGGACCAGAACUGACGCUGAGGCACGAAAGCGUGGGUAGCAAACAGG
This 253-nucleotide ribosomal RNA is filed under the name uncultured Methylosoma sp. RNAcentral describes it as "partial 16S ribosomal RNA". It matches the Rfam family "Bacterial small subunit ribosomal RNA", at positions 524 to 776 of the family's 1533-position model. The record is from RNAcentral. Lineage: Bacteria; Pseudomonadati; Pseudomonadota; Gammaproteobacteria; Methylococcales; Methylococcaceae.